UUUUUGAAAGGCAUCAUUUUUAAUUAAGUCCAACGGUAAAAGAUGGGCUGGGUCCCAUUAGCUAGUUGUAAGGAACGGCUUACCAAGGCUACGAUGGGUAGGGUCCUGAGAGGGAGUCCCCCACACUGGUACUGAGACACGGACCAGAUUCCUACGGGAGGCAGCAGUGAGGAAUAUUGGACAAUGGGCGCAAGCCUGAUCCAGCCAUGCCGCGUGCAGGAUGACGGUCCUAUGGAUUGUAAACUGCUUUUAUACGAGAAGAAACACUGCUUCGUGAAGCAGCUUGACGGUAUCGUAAGAAUAAGGAUCGGCUAACUCCGUGCCAGCAGCCGCGGUAAUACGGAGGAUCCAAGCGUUAUCCGGAAUCAUUGGGUUUAAAGGGUCCGUAGGCGGUUUAAUAAGUCAGUGGUGAAAGCCCAUCGCUCAACGGUGGAACGGCCAUUGAUACUGUUAAACUUGAAUUAUUAGGAAGUAACUAGAAUAUGUAGUGUAGCGGUGAAAUGCUUAGAGAUUACAUGGAAUACCAAUUGCGAAGGCAGGUUACUACUAAUGGAUUGACGCUGAUGGACGAAAGCGUGGGUAGCGAACAGGAUUAGAUACCCUGGUAGUCCACGCCGUAAACGAUGGAUACUAGCUGUUGGAAGCAAUUUCAGUGGCUAAGCGAAAGUGAUAAGUAUCCCACCUGGGGAGUACGUUCGCAAGAAUGAAACUCAAAGGAAUUGACGGGGGCCCGCACAAGCGGUGGAGCAUGUGGUUUAAUUCGAUGAUACGCGAGGAACC
RNAcentral lists this ribosomal RNA (780 nucleotides) under Flavobacterium sp. 4cultural_1. RNAcentral describes it as "bacterial SSU rRNA". It matches the Rfam family "Bacterial small subunit ribosomal RNA", at positions 173 to 970 of the family's 1533-position model. Lineage: Bacteria; Pseudomonadati; Bacteroidota; Flavobacteriia; Flavobacteriales; Flavobacteriaceae. The record is from RNAcentral.